UAAUUGAUUGGCAUCAAUUGAUUAGUAAAGAUUUAUCGGUGAAAGAUGGGCAUGCGUAUCAUUAGCUAGUUGGUGUGGUAACGGCACACCAAGGCGACGAUGAUUAGGGGUCCUGAGAGGGAGAUCCCCCACACUGGUACUGAGACACGGACCAGACUCCUACGGGAGGCAGCAGUGAGGAAUAUUGGUCAAUGGAGGCAACUCUGAACCAGCCAUGCCGCGUGCAGGAUGACGGUCCUAUGGAUUGUAAACUGCUUUUGUACGGGAAGAAAUGUAUUUACGUGUAGAUAUUUGACGGUACCGUAAGAAUAAGGAUCGGCUAACUCCGUGCCAGCAGCCGCGGUAAUACGGAGGAUCCGAGCGUUAUCCGGAAUUAUUGGGUUUAAAGGGUUCGUANGGCGGCUAAGUAAGUCAGUGGUGAAAUCUUGCANGCUUAACUGUAAAAUUGCCGUUGAUACUGCUUGGCUUGAAUAGUAUUGGAAGUAAUUAGAAUAUGUAGUGUAGCGGUGAAAUGCUUAGAUAUUACAUGGGAAUACCAAUUGCGAAGGCAGAUUACUACGUAUUUAUUGACGCUGAUGAACGAAAGCGUGGGUAGCGAACAGGAUUAGAUACCCUGGUAGUCCACGCCGUAAACGAUGGAUACUAGCUGUUCGGUUUUCGGACUGAGUGGCUAAGCGAAAGUGAUAAGUAUCCCACCUGGGGAGUACGUUCGCAAGAAUGAAACUCAAAGGAAUUGACGGGGGCCCGCACAAGCGGUGGAGCAUGUGGUUUAAUUCGAUGAUACGCGAGGAACCUUACCAAGGCUUAAAUGUAGAUUGACAGGUUUAGAGAUAGACUUUCCUUCGGGCAAUUUACAAGGUGCUGCAUGGUUGUCGUCAGCUCGUGCCGUGAGGUGUCAGGUUAAGUCCUAUAACGAGCGCAACCCCUAUUGUUAGUUGCCAGCGGGUCAAGCCGGGAACUCUAACAAGACUGCCAGUGCAAACUGUGAGGAAGGUGGGGAUGACGUCAAAUCAUCACGGCCCUUACGUCUUGGGCUACACACGUGCUACAAUGGCCAGUACAGAAAGCAGCUACCAGGCAACUGGAUGCGAAUCUCAAAAGCUGGUCUCAGUUCGGAUUGGAGUCUGCAA
RNAcentral lists this ribosomal RNA (1130 nucleotides) under Myroides sp. MYb403. RNAcentral's name for it is "bacterial SSU rRNA". It matches the Rfam family "Bacterial small subunit ribosomal RNA", at positions 179 to 1310 of the family's 1533-position model. The record is from RNAcentral. Lineage: Bacteria; Pseudomonadati; Bacteroidota; Flavobacteriia; Flavobacteriales; Flavobacteriaceae.